GACGAACGCUGGCGGCGUGCUUAACACAUGCAAGUCGAACGGAAAGGCCAUGAUCUUGCGGGGUGCUCGUGUGGCGAACGGGUGAGUAAAACGUGUGUAACAUGCCCCUGAAUUUGGGAUAUAAUCAGGAAAAUGGGGAUAUUAUAGGAUAGGAGCUACUGCUGCAUGGUGGGGGUUGGUAAGUUUCGGCGGUUGGGGAUGGACUAGAGGCUUAUCCGCUUGUUGGUGGGGUAGUGGCUUACCAAGGCUUCGACGGGUAGCCGGCCUGAGAGGGUGACCGGCCACAUUGGGACUGAGAUACGGCCCAGACUCCUACGGGAGGCAGCAGUGGGGAAUAUUGCACAAUGGGCGGAAGCCUGAUGCAGCAACGCCGCGUGCGGGAUGACGGCCUUCGGGUUGUAAACCGCUUUCGCCUGUGACGAAGCGUGAGUGACGGUAAUGGGUAAAGAAGCACCGGCUAACUACGUG
Molecule: ribosomal RNA, 468 nt
Filed under: uncultured bacterium
Lineage: Bacteria
Description: partial 16S ribosomal RNA
Rfam family: Bacterial small subunit ribosomal RNA
Source: RNAcentral